This 459-nucleotide ribosomal RNA is filed under the name uncultured bacterium. RNAcentral describes it as "partial 16S ribosomal RNA". It matches the Rfam family "Bacterial small subunit ribosomal RNA", at positions 338 to 795 of the family's 1533-position model. The record is from RNAcentral.
CCUACGGGAGGCAGCAGUGAGGAAUAUUGGUCAAUGGCCGGAAGGCUGAACCAGCCAAGCCGCGUGAAGGACGAAGGUGCCAAGCAUUGUAAACUUCUUUUGUCAAGGGACAAAAUCAGGCUCGAGAGCCUGACCGAGGGUACUUGAAGAAAAAGCAUCGGCUAACUCCGUGCCAGCAGCCGCGGUAAUACGGAGGAUGCGAGUGUUAUCCGGAUUUAUUGGGUUUAAAGGGUGCGUAGGCGGACUGUUAAGUCAGCGGUAAAAGCCCGGGGCUCAACCCCGGCGAGCCGUUGAAACUGGCUGUCGUGAGAUGUCGAGAGGUAUGCGGAAUGCGCAGUGUAGCGGUGAAAUGCUUAGAUAUUGCGCAAAACUCCGAUUGCGAAGGCAGCAUACCGGCGGCGAUCUGACGCUGAGGCACGAAAGCGUGGGUAUCGAACAGGAUUAGAUACCCGAGUAGUC